AGGAACAGAAGAGGAGCGUUAACUAGGUAGUAAGUGAGAGGAUGCCAAUCCGAUGACCACUUAUGAUGGAGAUUAGCGCCGAGGUAUCAGUUUGUUUGGCAAACAUUGAUAUCGGUCGAUUAGGCUGAAUCCUAACGAUUGUCACCUAUUUUUUUGGUGGAGAGCUUCUGGUGAU
RNAcentral lists this non-coding RNA (175 nucleotides) under Shewanella frigidimarina. RNAcentral describes it as "Lysine sequence". It matches the Rfam family "Lysine riboswitch aptamer". From Rfam's summary of the family: Riboswitches are metabolite binding domains within certain messenger RNAs that serve as precision sensors for their corresponding targets. Allosteric rearrangement of mRNA structure is mediated by ligand binding, and this results in modulation of gene expression. RNAcentral also lists the same sequence under 1 other name. The record is from RNAcentral. Lineage: Bacteria; Pseudomonadati; Pseudomonadota; Gammaproteobacteria; Alteromonadales; Shewanellaceae.